RNAcentral lists this ribosomal RNA (253 nucleotides) under uncultured bacterium. Its description in RNAcentral is "partial 16S ribosomal RNA". It matches the Rfam family "Bacterial small subunit ribosomal RNA", at positions 524 to 776 of the family's 1533-position model. The record is from RNAcentral.
UACGUAGGGGGCAAGCGUUGUCCGGAAUUAUUGGGCGUAAAGAGCGCGUAGGCGGUCCGAUAAGUCGGCUGUGAAAGUCAGGGGCUCAACCCUUGGAAGCCGGCCGAUACUGUCGGACUAGAGUCCGGAAGAGGCGAGUGGAAUUCCCGGUGUAGCGGUGAAAUGCGUAGAUAUCGGAAGGAACAUCAGUGGCGAAGGCGACUUCCUGGACCAAUACUGACGCUCAGGUGCGAAAGCGUGGGGAGCAAACAGG